Molecule: ribosomal RNA, 253 nt
Filed under: uncultured bacterium
Lineage: Bacteria
Description: partial 16S ribosomal RNA
Rfam family: Bacterial small subunit ribosomal RNA
Source: RNAcentral
GACAGAGGGUGCAAACGUUGUUCGGAAUUACUGGGCAUAAAGAGCACGUAGGUGGUGCGCUAAGUCACGUGUGAAAUCCCCCGGCUCAACCGGGGAAUGGCGCGUGAUACUGGCGGACUCGAGGCGGGUAGGGGUGAGCGGAACUCCGGGUGGAGCGGUGAAAUGCGUAGAGAUCUGGAGGAACACCGGUGGCGAAAGCGGCUCACUGGACCUGAUCUGACACUGAGGUGCGAAAGCUAGGGUAGCAAACGGG